UACGGGGGGGGCAAGCGUUGUUCGGAAUUACUGGGCGUAAAGGGCUCGUAGGUGGCCAACUAAGUCAGACGUGAAAUCCCUCAGCUUAACUGGGGAACUGCGUCUGAUACUGGAUGGCUUGAGUUUGGGAGAGGGAUGCGGAAUUCCCGGUGUAGCGGUGAAAUGCGCAGAUAUCGGGAGGAACACCGGUGGCGAAGGCGGUUCUCUGGGCCUGACCUGACGCUGAGGAGCGAAAGCGUGGGGAGCGAACAGG
This 253-nucleotide ribosomal RNA is filed under the name uncultured bacterium. RNAcentral describes it as "partial 16S ribosomal RNA". It matches the Rfam family "Bacterial small subunit ribosomal RNA", at positions 524 to 776 of the family's 1533-position model. The record is from RNAcentral.